This 2042-nucleotide long non-coding RNA is filed under the name Sus scrofa (pig). RNAcentral describes it as "lncRNA (ENSSSCG00025006667.1)". Lineage: Eukaryota; Metazoa; Chordata; Mammalia; Artiodactyla; Suidae. The record is from RNAcentral.
UGCUGCUGUAAUGUAUAGCAUGGCAACUAUGAUGGCAAUAAUACUCUAUUGCAUCUUUGAACAUCGUUAACAAAGCAAAGUUUAAAAGUUCUUACCACAAGCAAAAAAAUACUGUAAUAUGUGUGGUGAUGGAUGUUAACUAGACUUAUUUUGGCAACCCUUCCACAAUAUAUACAAAUAUCAAAUAAUUAAGUUCUGCACUUGAAACUAAUGUUGUAUGUCAAUUAUACCUCAAUUUUAAAGUGUCCAUUAAUAAAUAUAUCAUUCUGUUCACUCUGACCUAAGGCCCUCAUAGGGUGAAAAGACCAGUAGCGUUUCUUCAUGAUGGGGAGGUUUUCUAAUAACACAGGAUCACAUAGCUCUAUAUGAAAAUAUUUAAAAACUAACCUCAAGGGACAUUUGGUACAAAUACUAUUUAUACUAUGCAAAUACUUUUAAAAAGUACUGCAGUUUCUGAGAAGUUGAUCAUAAGACAGAUUAGGAGGAAGAAAAAAAAUCCAGACCAGCAAUUUACAAAUCAGCUCCUCUAGGACAGAAGAUGUACUUAACAAACAAACUUUUUUCAAGACACAGAGACCCAGAUCAGACUUCUUCCAUGGCUGCGCUUGCUGGUCUCCACACAAUGAGAAAUAGAUACUUAAGGUUGCUGCCAGCCUCAGGACUCUUGCUGCUGUUUUUGCCAUUGGGAUUUGCAGCCCUGGAAACAAGAUCCUGUGCUUGGUGGUGCCCUCCAAACCCUCCGUGUAUCAAUGCCGAUAACUGCCGUUGCUUUCCAGGAUUUGGUUCUUCAUCUGAGGUGACAUUCACUGGCCCCUUGGAGAGUUGUGAUGGUAUGGAGCCUUGGGGUGGUAGAAAUGUUCACACAAAUUUGGGGAGAGAUUGUGGUGCAUCCAUAGCCUUCAACCCUAAGAGAAGAACGGAGGCACUUUUCAAUAAAGCAGAGACUUUAGAAUAAGAAUGUAUAAGUGAAAUGGGCAAUCAGGUUUGCAUGAUGAGUAGAUAGAGAGUUAAUUUUUUUCUUUUAAUUUUAUAGGCUAUGAAAAGUUUAUAGUUUUAUGAGGUUUCAAGGUAGCCUUAUUUUUUUAAUUAUCAAAUUUGAGCUCAAAGAGAUUGAGUGACUUGUUCCAAAGUCACACAACUAAUAAAGUGGUAGAAACAGAUCCAGGUCUAAAGCAAAACAGAAUCACCAAAAGAAAAUUAUAAUACUUAAAAAUUGUUAUGGGAGUUCCCAUCGUGGCACAGCAGAAAUGAAUCCAACUAGGAACCAUGCAUUUGUGGGUUCCAUCCCUGACCUCGCUCAGUGGGUUAAGCAUCUGGUGUUGCCGUGAGCUGUGGUGUAGGUUGCAGACACAGUUCAGAUCUGGCAUUACUGUGGCUGUGGUGUGGGCCAGCAGCUACAGCUCCGAUUAGACCCCUAGCCUGGGAACCUCCAUAUGCUGUUGGUAUGGCCCUCUUUUUAGACAAAAAAAAAUUGUUAUGGUGGAAAUUUUUGUUUUAGGUAUUUUACCCAUUUUUUUAAAUAAUUUUUUUUUAUUUUCCCACUGUUACAGCGAGGGGGUCAGGUUAUCCUUACAUGUAUACAUUACAAUUACAUUUUUCCCCCACCCUUUCUUCUGUUGCAACAUGAGUAUCUAGACAAAGUUCUCAAUGCUAUUCAGCAGGAUCUCCUUGUAAAUCUAUUCUAAGUUGUGUCUGAUAAGCCCAAGCUCCCGAUCCCUCCCACUCCCUCCCCCUCCCAUUUUUAAAUGAGAGAAAAGAAAAUAGCUUCGACAUCAAGACUCUUCAUCUACUCAAAAUAGUAUUAGAUAUAUAAUUAUUGAUAAUAAAAAUAUACCUAUUGCUUUAAAAAAUGAGUGAAAAAUACUCCUAACAUUUUCUAGGAAGCUGUGUAGUGGAUUUAUGGGUGAUUCUAUUUGUUUUCACUUUUUUUUACUCUUUCUUUGUUUUCUAAGUAUACGUGUGUCAUUUAAUAUUGAAGGAAAAGUAAAUUUUAUCAGAGAAAAAAAGAUGCGAUAACUGCACAGUCCUUCCAUGACCCAAAA